GACGAACGCUGGCGGCGUGCCUAACACAUGCAAGUCGUACGAGAAAGCCGGCUUCGGCUGGUGAGUAAAGUGGCGCACGGGUGAGUAACGCGUGGAUAAUCUGCCCUUAAGUGUGGAAUAACGUACCGAAAGGUGCGCUAAUACCGCAUAAUGCCUGGCAACACAAGUUGUCCGGCCAAAGAAGGCCUCUGUUUACAAGCUUUCGCUUCAGGAUGAGUCCGCGUACCAUUAGCUUGUUGGUGGGGUAAUGGCCUACCAAGGCUGCGAUGGUUAGCUGGUCUGAGAGGAUGAUCAGCCACACUGGAACUGAGACACGGUCCAGACUCCUACGGGAGGCAGCAGUGGGGAAUUUUGGACAAUGGGCGCAAGCCUGAUCCAGCCAUGCCGCGUGCAGGAUGAAGGCCUUCGGGUUGUAAACUGCUUUGUACGAACGAAAGACUCUUCUAAUAAGAGGUCAUGACGGUACCGUAAGAUAAGCACCGGCUAACUACGUACG
RNAcentral lists this ribosomal RNA (496 nucleotides) under uncultured bacterium. Its description in RNAcentral is "bacterial SSU rRNA". It matches the Rfam family "Bacterial small subunit ribosomal RNA", at positions 28 to 509 of the family's 1533-position model. The record is from RNAcentral.